GUUCGGGGGACAGGGUGACAGGUGGUGCGUGGUUGUCGUCAGCUCGUGUCGUGAGAUGUUGGGUUAAGUCCCGCAACGAGCGCAACCCUCGACCUUAGUUGCCAGCAUUCAGUUGGGCACUCUAAGGUGACUGCCGGACUAAAAGUCGGAGGAAGGUGGGGAUGACGUCAAAUCAUCAUCGCCCCUUAUGACCGUGGGCUACACACGUGCUAACAAGUGGGGCGGUAACGAAAGGGUCGCGAACCCGCGAGGGGGAGCCAAUCCCAAAAAGCCGCUCUCAGUUCGGAUUGCAGGCUGCAACUCGCCUGCAUGAAGCCGGAAUCGCUAGUAAUCGCGGAUCAGCAUGCCGCGGUGAAUACGUUCCCGGGCCUU
Molecule: ribosomal RNA, 372 nt
Filed under: uncultured Anoxybacillus sp.
Lineage: Bacteria; Bacillati; Bacillota; Bacilli; Caryophanales; Anoxybacillaceae
Description: bacterial SSU rRNA
Rfam family: Bacterial small subunit ribosomal RNA
Source: RNAcentral